UACGAAGGGGGCUAGCGUUGUUCGGAAUUACUGGGCGUAAAGGGCGCGUAGGCGGCCCGUCAAGUCCCGUGUGAAAGCCCCCGGCUCAACCGGGGAACGGCGCGGGAAACUAGCAGGCUUGAGUUCGGGAGAGGGAAGCGGAAUUCCGGGUGUAGCGGUGAAAUGCGCAGAUAUCCGGAGGAACACCGGUGGCGAAGGCGCACAUCUGGCCCGAUACUGACGCUGAGGCGCGAAAGCUAGGGGAGCAAACGGG
This 253-nucleotide ribosomal RNA is filed under the name uncultured bacterium. Its description in RNAcentral is "partial 16S ribosomal RNA". It matches the Rfam family "Bacterial small subunit ribosomal RNA", at positions 524 to 776 of the family's 1533-position model. The record is from RNAcentral.